This 336-nucleotide transfer-messenger RNA is filed under the name Candidatus Omnitrophota bacterium. It matches the Rfam family "transfer-messenger RNA". Rfam says of the family: Bacterial tmRNA, also known as 10Sa RNA or SsrA, is named for its dual tRNA and mRNA-like properties. Its role is to liberate the mRNA from a stalled ribosome. The record is from RNAcentral. RNAcentral also lists the same sequence under 1 other name. Lineage: Bacteria; Pseudomonadati; Candidatus Omnitrophota.
GGGGGCGACUGGAUUUGAUGCUAGAUCGCAAGUAGUAUAAAUAUCCUUGUUGACAGUACUGAAAGAAGUACGAACAAUAAAUGCAAACUUAGAUACAAAUAAGUUAGAGGUUGUUAAUGCAUUGCAAAAUAAUCUCUUGGGGACCAAUCACUUCGUCCUAGCAACAGAAAUCGGAAGUGACGUUAUUUACGGGCAGGAUGCAUCAUUUAAACAGGUUGAGAACUGCGCACUUAGGACCGAGCUUGCUACUGCGUUAGUGUAGCUUUUUAACACAAGGUAAACGUAUUUAUAUUAUUUUUCUGGUACACGGGGGUUCGAAUCCCCCCGCCUCCACCA